AUGGCGUCCGGCGUGGCCUCAGCAUCGGCGCCCCCGCCGGUGGAUCAAAUCCGCGUGGUUGGUGCGUGGGCUGGGCCCCUGGAGGUGGAGCUGGGCACCUGGAAGGUGCCGAUGAUGCAGGGGGAGGUGGCGUGGCGGGCCGGGGACGUGGAGCCCGACCGCGUCGGCCUCAUCUUCGGCGGCCGCGUGCUCAAGGACGACCCCGCCGGCGUCUCGCUGCAGCAGGCCGGCCUCAAUAAGCUCGUCAGGCUCUGCUUCUGGAGACGUCGAAAGGUCAGCAGGAGGAGGUGUUGCCGUACAUCGAGAAGAAGAAGAAAAAAAAGGGAUGUUUUGUCUCCAACAGCAGAACCCGUUCCAUUGGUGAAGAAAAGAAUGCGGACGAAUGACAACGGUGACGACCGACGACUGCAAGGGGGGAAGCGGAAGCAAAGCAAGAAAGAGAGAGAUAGAGAAAAAGAGAAAUGCAGCAAAAAGGAGUACCACAUUAGGCCACAAGAUUUUGUAUUUUGUUUAUCUUCGGAGCAGAGAUCGAACUGUUUCAUGUGA
RNAcentral lists this ribosomal RNA (546 nucleotides) under Triticum aestivum (bread wheat). RNAcentral describes it as "partial small subunit ribosomal RNA". Lineage: Eukaryota; Viridiplantae; Streptophyta; Magnoliopsida; Poales; Poaceae. The record is from RNAcentral.